AAGGCUUCUUGGCCUUUUGGCUAAGAUCAAGUGUAGUAAAUAAAUAAAUAAAUAAAUAAUGUACUCCAAACUACAUUUGUGGGAAGAGGCAGGGCAAUUUUGAAAAAAAUGUUUUCUACCUACUUGCAUGCAAACUUUCCAUGUACUUGAAACUAGAGAAGUGAUUGGCACAUCUUACCUUUUUUAGUACCUUUU
Small nuclear RNA from Candoia aspera, 195 nucleotides. RefSeq annotates it as U2 spliceosomal RNA. The record is from RefSeq and is a predicted model, not a curated record. The transcript has a single exon. NCBI's taxonomy places the organism in Eukaryota, Metazoa, Chordata, Lepidosauria, Squamata, Candoiidae.